This 853-nucleotide ribosomal RNA is filed under the name uncultured Mycoplasma sp. Its description in RNAcentral is "bacterial SSU rRNA". Lineage: Bacteria; Bacillati; Mycoplasmatota; Mollicutes; Mycoplasmatales; Mycoplasmataceae. The record is from RNAcentral.
AUACCCACAUCGAAACAUUGGUUAAUGCCGGAUGCGCAUGAGAUCGCAUGAUCGAGGUGUGAAAGGGGCCUCUAAAGCCCCACUAAGAGAUGAGGGUGCGGAACAUUAGCUAGUUGGUAAGGUAAUGGCUUACCAAGGCUAUGAUGUUUAGCCGGGUCGAGAGACUGAACGGCCACAUUGGGACUGAGAUACGGCCCAAACUUCUACGGGAGGCAGCAGUAGGGAAUAUUCCACAAUGAGCGAAAGCUUGAUGGAGCGACACAGCGUGCACGAUGACGGUCUUCGGAUUGUAAAGUGCUGUUAUAAGGGAAGAACACUUAGUUGAGGAAAUGCUUCUAAGCUGACGGUACCUUGUCAGAAAGCGAUGGCUAACUAUGUGCCAGCAGCCGCGGUAAUACAUAGGUCGCAAGCGUUAUCCGGAAUUAUUGGGCGUAAAGCGUUCGUAGGCUGUUUGUUAAGUCUGGAGUCAAAGCCCGGGGCUCAACCCCGGUCCGCUUUGGAUACUGGCAAACUAGAGUUAGAUAGAGGUAAGCGGAAUUCCAUGUGAAGCGGUGAAAUGCGUAGAUAUAUGGAAAGAACACCAAAGGCGCAGGCAGCUUACUGGGUCUAUACUGACGCUGAGGGACGAAAGCGUGGGGAGCAAACAGGAUUAGAUACCCUGGUAGUCCACGCCGUAAACGAUGAUCAUUAGUCGGUGGAGAAWUCACUGACGCAGCUAACGCAAUAAAUGAUCCGCCUGAGUAGUAUGCUCGCAGAGUGAAACUUAAGGAAUUGACGGGGACCCGCACAAGCGGUGGAGCAUGUGGUUGUUAAUUUGAGAUACACGGAGACCUUACCACUCUGACAUCUCGCA